This 200-nucleotide unclassified non-coding RNA is filed under the name soil metagenome. RNAcentral describes it as "partial contains internal transcribed spacer 2 and large subunit ribosomal RNA". The record is from RNAcentral.
GGGGGUUUCUUUUGCUGGUCUCUUUUGAGGUCGGCUCCCCUAAAACUGACAUUAGCGGAACAAUUUGUUGACCCGUUCAUUGGUGUGAUAACUAUCUACGCUUUUGACGUGAAACAGGUUCAGCUUCUAACAGUCCAUUGACUUGGACAAUUUUUCAUUAAUGUGACCUCAAAUCAGGUAGGACUACCCGCUGAACUUAA